Molecule: long non-coding RNA, 612 nt
Organism: Hippopotamus amphibius kiboko
Lineage: Eukaryota; Metazoa; Chordata; Mammalia; Artiodactyla; Hippopotamidae
Exons: 3
Source: RefSeq, a predicted model, not a curated record
GGGGAUAGUGGCGGAUGGUGAGCACAUUCUAGACCAGAGAGGAGAACAGAAUGUGUGAAAAGGUUCAAGAGAGGUGAGAAAAUACAGCUUAUUGGGGGUAUCAAGAGAUAUCAAAGUAAGAUCUCAGAACAGAGGAAAUGAGGGGGAGUGUUGGGCAAUGAGCAUGAAGUGUAAACACAGGUGUACCCGCCAGGAAGAGCUUGUGCACCGAGUGCAACCGGUUGACCUUGAAGUUCGGGAAGUCCUGAGCCCUUGCUGCAGCCACCAGAGGACAUGCCCUGUGUAGAAAAUAAUCUCGUCUGCUUUACACCCUGCCUCCCGGAGGACCUGCCGCAGAGACCAGAUUCCUAAUUACCUGUGACUGGAAGCAGAACACGGUGAUGAACCCCAAAGGCAAACACCCCACCAAUGAGACCCUGUCAGCAUCAUAUGCAAGCAGAUUUCUCUACUGACCGCUGGAGCCUUACUGGAGCAUCCCAUCUCACAAACCUUGUUGAAUACCUACAUGAACAAGACUGUUUAGUGAAGGUAAGCUGACUGCUACAACCACAGUGAACUAUAACAAUUUGCAGUGGUUUAACACAGCAGAAGUGUGGGUCUAAGUUUGUGGUG